RNAcentral lists this ribosomal RNA (1195 nucleotides) under uncultured Psychrobacter sp. RNAcentral's name for it is "bacterial SSU rRNA". It matches the Rfam family "Bacterial small subunit ribosomal RNA", at positions 39 to 1201 of the family's 1533-position model. Lineage: Bacteria; Pseudomonadati; Pseudomonadota; Gammaproteobacteria; Moraxellales; Moraxellaceae. The record is from RNAcentral.
GCAAGAUCAGGCCUAACACAUUGCCAGUCGAGCGGAAACCGAUGGGAGCUUGCUCCCAGGCGUCGAGCGGCGGACGGGUGAGUAACACUUAGGAAUCUACCUAGUAGUGGGGGAUAGCUCGGGGAAACUCGAAUUAAUACCGCAUACGUCCUAUCGGGAGAAAGGGGGCAACUUGUUGCCUCUCGCUAUUAGAUUGGAGCCUAAGUCGGAUUAGCUAGUUGGUGGGGUAAAGGGCCUACCCAAGGCGACGAUCCUGUAGCUGGUCUUGGAGAGGAUGAAUUCAGCCCACAACCGGGACUGAGACACGGGCCCGGACUCCUACCGGGAGGCAGCAAGUGGGGAAUAUUGGACAAUGGGGGCAACCCUGAUCCAGCCAUGCCGCGUGUGUGAAGAAGGCCUUUUGGUUGUAAAGCACUUUAAGCAGUGAAGAAGACCAUAUGGUUAAUACCCAUAUGCGAUGACAUUAGCUGCAGAAUAAGCACCGGCUAGCUCUUGUGCCAGCAGCCGCGGUAAUACAGACGGGUGCAAGCGUUAAUCGGAAUUACUGGGCGUAAAGCGAGCGUAGGUGGCUUGAUAAGUCAGAUGUGAAAUCCCCGGGCUUAACCUGGGAACUGCAUCUGAUACUGUCAGGCUAGAAUAGGUGAGAGGAAGGUAGAAUUCCAGGUGUAGCGGUGAAAUGCGUAGGGAUCUGGAGGAAUACCGAUGGCGAAGGCAGCCUUCUGGCAUCAUAUUGACACUGAGGUUCGAAAGCGUGGGUAGCAAACAGGAUUAGAUACCCUGGUAGUCCACGCCGUAAACGAUGUCUACUAGUCGUUGGGUCCCUUGAGGACUUAGUGACGCAGCUAACGCAAUAAGUAGACCCGCCUGGGGAGUACGGCCGCAAGGUUAAAACUAGAAAUGAAUUGACGGGGGCCCGCACAAGCGGUGGAGCAUGUGGUUUAAUUCGAUGCAACGCGAAGAACCUUACCUGGUCUUGAACAUAUCUAGAAUCCUGCAGAGAUGCGGGAGUGCCUUCGGGAAUUAGAAUACAGGUGCUGCAUGGCUGUCGUCAGCUCGUGUCGUGAGAUGUUGGGUUAAGUCCCGCAACGAGCGCAACCCUUGUCCUUAGUUACCAGCGGUUUGUCCGGGAACUCUUAAGAUACUGCCAGUGACAAACUGGAGGAAGGCGGGGACGACGUCAGUCCAUCCAUGGCCU